CUACGGGAGGCAGCAGUGGGGAAUAUUGGACAAUGGGCGCAAGCCUGAUCCAGCCAUGCCGCGUGAGUGAAGAAGGCCUUCGGGUUGUAAAGCUCUUUUGGCGGGGACGAUAAUGACGGUACCCGCAGAAUAAGCUCCGGCUAACUUCGUGCCAGCAGCCGCGGUAAUACGAAGGGAGCUAGCGUUGUUCGGAAUCACUGGGCGUAAAGCGCACGUAGGCGGACUUGUCAGUCAGGGGUGAAAUCCUGAGGCUCAACCUCAGAACUGCCUCCGAUACAGCAAGUCUUGAGUCCGGGAGAGGUAAGUGGAAUUCCUAGUGUAGAGGUGAAAUUCGUAGAUAUUAGGAAGAACACCAGUGGCGAAGGCGGCUCACUGGCCCGGUACUGACGCUGAGGUGCGAAAGCGUGGGGAGCAAACAGGAUUAGAAACCCGGGUAGUCC
This 440-nucleotide ribosomal RNA is filed under the name uncultured bacterium. RNAcentral's name for it is "bacterial SSU rRNA". It matches the Rfam family "Bacterial small subunit ribosomal RNA", at positions 339 to 796 of the family's 1533-position model. The record is from RNAcentral.